GCUGCCCCAGACAGGGAGAGCUUCCCAGGGCGGCACAGAGCAGCACUGGCUGUCUGUGCCUCCCCCGCACACCCAGCAGGAGCCACGGAAGCUCGAACCGCUGUGAGCCACUGACCCCAGUGAGGCCCCAGUCCCGCGGGGGUACCGGGUGGGCCUGCCCUUCCUUCAGGCAACCUGGAGGCUGGAAAGGAGGAAGCCCCGCAGGUCUCCUUCACUGUUCCCGAUGAAGUGAGAGGAAAAGGGCGGAGCUGGUGUCCCGAGCAGGUGUCCCCAGGACAUCUGCACACUCCCAAUGACAGCCCUCGCCAGGGAGCACACCCCGCGACCCCACUGCUCGCCAGAACCAGUCUCCAGGGACCGCACUUGGGGCUGAGAACAGGCUCACGUCAGGGGUGACCGCUGGAGCCACCUGCGCCCAGGCCUAAGCCCACAGAUGCCCGGGCACCCGGGACGCCCAGGAGCACCAGUUAACAUCACUAGGCGGCCACAGAGACGGGACGGAGCAGCAAGAGAGCGCGAAGACCUGUCUGCAGGUGGCACCGCAGCCCCAGGCCCAGCACUCAGAGCCCCACAAAGGCAGCAGGGGACAUCAGAUGCUGAACCGGAGAAGGGGUGAGGUGCUGGUGUCCAACAGGCCCUGCCGCCUGUGAGGACCAGCACUGACGCCUCGGGAACCCGGGGCCAGCAUGUCCCCCACAGUGGCCGGGCCUCAGCUUCCUCUCAGCCCCUCCGGGCUCGCUUCUGCAGCAGCCACCCUGACUGACGCUAACUCUUGCUGUUCUGAGAAGUCCCCUCCAGAGCACAGGCAAGGCACAGAGCAGGGGAUCAGGCGCGGGUGGGGUCACACUGGGCCAGUCCUGUGACUCAGUUUCUUUUUACUCUGUUGUGGCUGGCUGCGCUUUCUUUGUGGCCCGCGGAGCCCUGGGCACUUGCCUUCUGGUAAACCAGGUAGUGAAAAGAUUGCCCUGGUUGUGUUCCA
Molecule: long non-coding RNA, 979 nt
Organism: Lemur catta (Ring-tailed lemur)
Lineage: Eukaryota; Metazoa; Chordata; Mammalia; Primates; Lemuridae
Exons: 3
Source: RefSeq, a predicted model, not a curated record